AGGGCAGUGGCUCAAUUGGUAGAGCACCGGUCUCCAAAACCGGCGGUUGGGGGUUCAAGUCCCUCCUGCCCUG
This 73-nucleotide transfer RNA is filed under the name Mycobacteriales bacterium. RNAcentral describes it as "tRNA-Trp". It matches the Rfam family "tRNA". From Rfam's summary of the family: Transfer RNA (tRNA) molecules are approximately 80 nucleotides in length. The record is from RNAcentral. Lineage: Bacteria; Bacillati; Actinomycetota; Actinomycetes; Mycobacteriales. RNAcentral also lists the same sequence under 2 other names.